RNAcentral lists this ribosomal RNA (254 nucleotides) under uncultured bacterium. RNAcentral's name for it is "partial 16S ribosomal RNA". It matches the Rfam family "Bacterial small subunit ribosomal RNA", at positions 524 to 776 of the family's 1533-position model. The record is from RNAcentral.
UACAGAGGUCUCAAGCGUUGUUCGGAUUCAUUGGGCGUAAAGGGUGCGUAGGCGGCCAGCACAAGUCAGUUGUGAAAUCUCCGGGCUUAACUCGGAAAGGUCAACUGAUACUGUGCGGCUAGAGUGCAGAAGGGGCAACUGGAAUUCUCGGUGUAGCGGUGAAAUGCGUAGAUAUCGAGAGGAACACCUGCGGCGAAGGCGGGUUGCUGGGCUGACACUGACGCUGAUGCGCGAAAGCCAGGGGAGCGAACGGG